CACCGCGGUUAUACGAAUAGGCCCAAGUUGUUAGACAUCGGCGUAAAGCGUGGUUAGGUAAUUAAAUAUCCAGUAAAGCCGAACGCCUUCUAGGCUGUCAUACGUGUAUUUGCGAAGGUGAGAAGCCCAAUUACGAAAGUAGCUUUAUAAUAACUGACUCCACGAAAGCCAGGAAA
Molecule: ribosomal RNA, 176 nt
Filed under: Lobotes surinamensis (Atlantic tripletail)
Lineage: Eukaryota; Metazoa; Chordata; Actinopteri; Lobotiformes; Lobotidae
Description: partial 12S ribosomal RNA
Source: RNAcentral